UUAUUGGAGAGUUUGAUCCUGGCUCAGGACGAACGCUGGCGGCGUGCCUAAUACAUGCAAGUCGAGCGGAUCUUCGGGAGCUUGCUCCCGAUGGUCAGCGGCGGACGGGUGAGUAACACGUGGGCAACCUGCCUGUAAGACUGGGAUAACUCCGGGAAACCGGGGCUAAUACCGGAUGAUUCAUUCCCUCACAUGAGGGAAUGCUGAAAGACGGCUUUUGCUGUCACUUACAGAUGGGCCCGCGGCGCAUUAGCUAGUUGGUGAGGUAACGGCUCACCAAGGCCACGAUGCGUAGCCGACCUGAGAGGGUGAUCGGCCACACUGGGACUGAGACACGGCCCAGACUCCUACGGGAGGCAGCAGUAGGGAAUCUUCCGCAAUGGACGAAAGUCUGACGGAGCAACGCCGCGUGAGCGAAGAAGGCCUUCGGGUCGUAAAGCUCU
Molecule: non-coding RNA, 443 nt
Filed under: Mesobacillus campisalis
Lineage: Bacteria; Bacillati; Bacillota; Bacilli; Caryophanales; Bacillaceae
Description: Bacillus campisalis Bacterial small subunit ribosomal RNA
Rfam family: Bacterial small subunit ribosomal RNA
Source: Rfam by way of RNAcentral